Molecule: ribosomal RNA, 458 nt
Filed under: Selenomonas sp. oral taxon E83
Lineage: Bacteria; Bacillati; Bacillota; Negativicutes; Selenomonadales; Selenomonadaceae
Description: bacterial SSU rRNA
Rfam family: Bacterial small subunit ribosomal RNA
Source: RNAcentral
GACGAACGCUGGCGGCGUGCUUAACACAUGCAAGUCGAACGGAGCGAAUGAAAGCUUGCUUUUAUGAGCUUAGUGGCAAACGGGUGAGUAACACGUAGACAACCUGCCGAUAGGAUGGGGACAACAUUCCGAAAGGAAUGCUAAUACCGAAUGGCGUGUAGGGGAGGCAUCUCCCGUACAUGAAAGAUGGCCUCUGAAUAUGCUAUCACCUAUCGAUGGGUCUGCGUCUGAUUAGCUAGUAGGUAAGGUAACGGCUUACCUAGGCGACGAUCAGUAGCCGGUCUGAGAGGAUGAACGGCCACAUUGGGACUGAGACACGGCCCAGACUCCUACGGGAGGCAGCAGUGGGGAAUCUUCCGCAAUGGGCGCAAGCCUGACGGAGCAACGCCGCGUGAGUGAAGAAGGUCUUCGGAUCGUAAAGCUCUGUUGAAGGGGACGAACGAUCGAGGGGCGAACAG